Molecule: ribosomal RNA, 394 nt
Filed under: uncultured bacterium
Lineage: Bacteria
Description: bacterial SSU rRNA
Rfam family: Bacterial small subunit ribosomal RNA
Source: RNAcentral
GUGUCAGCAGCCGCGGUAAUACGGAGGGUGCAAGCGUUAAUCGGAAUUACUGGGCGUAAAGCGCAUGCAGGCGGUCUGUUAAGUCAGAUGUGAAAGCCCCGGGCUUAACCUGGGAGUGGCAUUUGAGACUGGCAGGCUAGAGUCUUGUAGAGGGGGGUAGAAUUCCAGGUGUAGCGGUGAAAUGCGUAGAGAUCUGGAGGAAUAUCGGUGGCGAAGGCGGCCCCCUGGACAAAGACUGACGCUCAGAUGCGAAAGCGUGGGUAGCAAACAGGAUUAGAUACCCUGGUAGUCCACGCCGUAAACGAUGUCUACUUGAAGGUUGGGAUCUUGAAUUCUGGCCUUCGGAGCUAACGCGUUAAGUAGACCGCCUGGGGAGUACGGUCGCAAGAUUAAA